UGUCCAUAAUGCGGUAAAGGUGUCUUUUAGUAGACUUAAUAGGGAAUCCGGUGAAAUUCCGGAACUGUUCCCGCAACUGUAAGUGCAGACGUUCUUGAUAAUCCACUGUCUAAGCAGGCUUAACGGCUCUUAUAUGGGAAGGAUCAAGAUAGGAAGAAGCACGAGUCAGGAGACCUGCCUUUAGCGAUUAUAGUUU
RNAcentral lists this non-coding RNA (196 nucleotides) under Bacillus sp. (in: firmicutes). Lineage: Bacteria; Bacillati; Bacillota; Bacilli; Caryophanales; Bacillaceae. The record is from RNAcentral.